CUGCGGCCUGGCGCCGGUUAGUUAGUGUGGUGCAAAAGCCGGAAGGAGACACAUUUGGUCCUGGCCUCCCGGCAGUCACCGUGCCAAGGACGAAUGGACUAUCGCUUGAUUUGGAGUACACUUCCUCCUCUUUAAAGAUUACAGAUGAGGGGGAUCUCGCGUUCUGGGGUGCCCUAAAGCCCUCUUUUGGCAGGGCGCAGUGGCUCACGCCUGUAAUCCCUACACUUUGGGAAGCCGAGGAGGGAGGAUUGCUUGAGCCCAGGAAUUCAAGACAAGCCUGGGCAACAUAGGGAGCCUACCUCUCUCUCUUAAAAAAAAAAAAAAAAAAAAUUAGCCGGCAUCGUGCCGGGCGCCUGUGGUGCUUGUGGUCCCAGCUACUCUGGAGGCUGAGGUGGGAGGAUCGCUUGAUCCCAGGAGGCGGAGUCUGCAGUGAACUGAGAUGAGCCACUGGACUUCAGCCUGGGCAACAGAGCAAGACACUGUCUCUAAGAAAAAUAAAUAACAUAAGGCCCUCUUUUGCCAGGACCAACAAACCGUGAGGGCAGGGACAAACUGACCCAGCCUAAACUGCCUCGCCCUCCCUAAACCCGGGAAAGGGGCUUUACCUGAGUGAACGUAGCAUCUUGCCGUUUUCUUACUGCACAGCUUUACCUUCCCAGGGAUCCGCCCAUUGCCACCUGAGGAAAUGCCUUGGAGUCCAUCUAAUCCCCAGCCCAGCUACUUGGGAGCCUACAGAGCGUACAUUGUCAGAGGAUGCAUCUUCCUUUAGUCUUGGAGGGUUUCUUUUCAAUAUGAUCCCGCUGGUGCAUUCAAGGCUCAAUUCUACACCAAAAACUAGGCCCACUCCUGUCACGAGAACCCCAGGCGUCAGGUCUUCUCACAGGCACCUUGUUCUUGCCCUCAGCAGCCCCCAGGUAUUCACUCUGCAUAUUCUAGAUACUGGGUGCUGGACUUGGGAGGCUACCCACGUGGCACAUGCUUCCCUUAUCCCUGAAGAGCUUAGAGUGUUGUAACUUCUUCACACUACACCUCUUACUUCUUGAAGAUUUCAGUAUCCAGGUAGAUAAUCCUUCCAACAUCCUUUUGGUCUCAUGAAGCCCACUCCUGUCCUCUGCCCUACCUCAGCUUCCCCCUCCCUCCAUGAUCAGACCUUAGACCUUGUCAGGUCCAAGGACUGCAACCCCCACAGUAUCCCACUCUGACCAGGUCUAUCUAUCCUCCUAUCUGUCCAGGUCACUCCCUAUACUGCCCUGAAACAAAACUCCUGCAACCUUACCAGCACCUCCAAUCAAGAUCUUACUACUUGUUCACUGUUUCUUCCUUUAUGACCCUCUCUAGUGAGCCAGCUUAAACUCAAUGGCCAACCAUUCUCAUUGAUCCCUUGCACACCUCCUCAACUCAUGCACCUCCCUGUCAUCUCCUAUCUGCUUGGUAAGAUGGGAGCCCUGGAUAAACCCAGCUCUCCAUCUAUUCCAUGCCACGACGAUGCAACUAAACAUGGCUGGAGGAAAACAGGACCAUGCCAGCCGUCCUCACUUUAAUCAUUCUUUGCCUGGUCUAUUCAAUCUCCCAUUGUUCCAAGUGAGUAUUUCGCACUUCCUCCUCUCUGUUCAAUCCUUCCCACUGCCUCUCCCUUCCUUGCCUCCUGCUUUGCUAAGAGAAUAGAAGUGGUAAAAGUCUUCCACAGACUCCCACGUCCACCUCCACCCAUCCGCCUCUUAUUGCCUCCCUGUGACUGUGGAUGAACAACUGCUAGGUCCACCCAAAGAAUCCUGCACUGGACUGCUGGAUCCCAUCAUCUCUUACUGCUCCAGGGUGUCACUCCAGCCAGCCUAUCCUCUCUGCAACAUCAGCAAUAUUUUCCUUUCUACUGGACUCUUCUCAUCGUCACAUAACAUGCAGCUAUUUCUCUCAUCUUCAAAACAAAGAAAUUACUCGACCCUAUUUCCUAUACCAGGACCUGCACCUUUUCUAUGUUCCCCUUUGCAGCAAAACUUCACAAAAGAACAGUCAAUACAUACUCUGGCCCCUCUCCUAUUCACUUUGAUUCACUUGUCUCACAGGACUCCACCUGCAGCCCUGGAUGCUCUUUCUCAGCUGCUUUUGCUGGUUCCCCUGCUCUCACCUGUUUAAAUUAGAGUGAGGCCAUAGGUUUCGGGCUUCAGUUUUCUUUUCUUCUGUGUCUAUACUUAUUCCCUGGAUGAUCUAAUUCUGUCUCAGUUUUAUAUGCCAUCUGUAUCAGUUAUUGAUAUGUUUUGGGUCUGUCCCUGCCCAAAUUUCGUGUGGAAUUGUAAUCCCCAAUGUUGGAGGUGGGGCCUGGUGGGAGGUGAUUGGAUCAUGGGAGCAGAGUCUUCAUGAAAGGUUUAGCACCAUUCAUCUAGUGCUGUUCUCAUGAUAGAGUUCUCACAAGAUCUGGUUGUUAAAAAGUGUGUAGCACCUCCCCCCACCACCUUUUCCUGCUCCAGCCAUGUAAGACAUGCCUGCUUCUCCUUCACCUUCCACCAUGAUUGAAAGUUUCCUGAGGCCUCCGCAGAAGCUGUCAUGCUUCCUGUACAGCCUGCAGAAUCGUGAGCCAAUUAAACCUCUUUUCUUAUAAAUUGCCUAGUCUCAGGUACUUCUUCAUAGCAGUGAGAGAACGGACUAAUACAGUUAUCAAUUUAUUGCAUCUCUGCUACAAACUCAUUCUUCAUUGCCUGCUCUGCAAAAAUGGAACUGGGCCAUUUAAAUAUUUUCCUCUGACAUUAUGUUAGGUUUUGUCAGUAGAGAGCAAUGGAGAGACUUUGUGGGCGAAAGCAGUCUUUGUUCCUGGUUCUCCUAUGCUCCCUGGCCUGGCUCCUGCAGGUGGGUGACUUCUCCAGAAACACAGUGGCCAGUGCCCAGCAGGUCCCACUCCCCUCACCAGCUCCAGGCAGUUUUGUUAUAGAGUAACUCUUUUGAGACACCGCUCCUUUCCCCAGCACCUAAAGAAGUAUUUCUAGUAAGUUCCAGUGGUAUAGCACCAGUGACUCUCCUGACAUGCAGAGGGCCAUAGCUGGGUUCCUCUGAUGAGGUGUAGGGGCAGUGCACUAGGAGGAGAGGACUCUCCUGGGCUCUCUACCUCAGCCCUAGGCUAGUGGUUGCUCCUCCUAUACUUCCUACUAGUCUGUGCCUGGUUACUCCACUUCCCUGUUGCAAUUAACACUUCUUUAUAUACAUGUUUCCUGUUCAAAUGACU
RNAcentral lists this long non-coding RNA (3214 nucleotides) under Homo sapiens (human). RNAcentral's name for it is "non-protein coding lnc-ZNF33B-5:1". Lineage: Eukaryota; Metazoa; Chordata; Mammalia; Primates; Hominidae. The record is from RNAcentral.